Molecule: non-coding RNA, 108 nt
Filed under: Rhizobium sp.
Lineage: Bacteria; Pseudomonadati; Pseudomonadota; Alphaproteobacteria; Hyphomicrobiales; Rhizobiaceae
Description: TPP sequence
Rfam family: TPP riboswitch aptamer (THI element)
About the family: Vitamin B(1) in its active form thiamin pyrophosphate (TPP) is an essential coenzyme that is synthesised by coupling of pyrimidine and thiazole moieties in bacteria. The previously detected thiamin-regulatory element, thi box was extended, resulting in a new, highly conserved RNA secondary structure, the THI element, which is widely distributed in eubacteria and also occurs in some archaea.
Source: RNAcentral
CCCGCUCUAACGGGGUGCCGUGUCUUUUCGCACGGCUGAGAGGCCUUUGGCCAACCCGCGGAACCUGAUCCGGUUAAGACCGGCGGAGGGAUUAGACGGCUCUUCAUC